RNAcentral lists this long non-coding RNA (30584 nucleotides) under Capsicum annuum. RNAcentral's name for it is "long non-coding RNA (CANN_LNC022484)". Lineage: Eukaryota; Viridiplantae; Streptophyta; Magnoliopsida; Solanales; Solanaceae. The record is from RNAcentral.
AAGGCAAAUGCCUGUAAAGCCAAAAGAAGUGCUCUGAGUCUCUGCUUGGUUUCUUCAUCUGUCAGCACACCGUUGCUGUCAAACUUCGGUGGUGACUCAAAUGCAUACACGAAAAGCUCAGGCUUGUUAAUGAAAUGAAGAUCAAGGUAGACUCCUAUCUGUCGGAGGUGAUAUUGUGAUCGUCCUCCACCAAAGCCACCUCCAGCACUCACAAUUGCAGCUGCUUUAUUAGCCCAAACAUUUGGAGGUCGAGAUGCCCAAUCAAUUGCAUUUUUCAAGGGACCUGCCCAAGGAGAAGGAAAUCAUAGUCAUCAGUAUCAAGAAUAUAAUCACAAGAAAUAAAAAUCCAUCAACACUAAUCCACCAACCUAUGGCUACUCGCAUAUCCAAGGCCUAAUCAACAAAUGGGGUUUGGAUCCAAACUAGGUGAUCAAAAAUAAGAGCAGAUCAAUUUUACCAGCAAAAUAAAAUUGAACUACGGAGAUAAAUGGAAACUCAAGGAUAAUUAAAUUUGAGAGGGAACUUGAGUCUGAUAAUAACUUGAAAAAUCUUAUACUCAAGACAGAUUUUACUUAUCCGGACAUUACAUCAAUCGCCAAUCGCAAUGAAACUUGCUAAGACAACCAAUCAAUUGACCAAAUGUUUCGAAAGUCUUAUAAGAAGAUAAUUUUUUCCUAUGAAAAGGAAAUGUCGAAUGAGAACAAUUCACCAUCCACAAUGCAUGAAGAAAUGGACCACAUUCACUGGUGGAAGUUAAUCACACUUGCCGUUGAGUCUCAAGGCAAAUGCCUGUAAAGCCAAAAGAAGUGCUCUGAGUCUCUGCUUGGUUUCUUCAUCUGUCAGCACACCGUUGCUGUCAAACUUCGGUGGUGACUCAAAUGCAUACACGAAAAGCUCAGGCUUGUUAAUGAAAUGAAGAUCAAGGUAGACUCCUAUCUGUCGGAGGUGAUAUUGUGAUCGUCCUCCACCAAAGCCACCUCCAGCACUCACAAUUGCAGCUGCUUUAUUAGCCCAAACAUUUGGAGGUCGAGAUGCCCAAUCAAUUGCAUUUUUCAAGGGACCUGCCCAAGGAGAAGGAAAUCAUAGUCAUCAGUAUCAAGAAUAUAAUCACAAGAAAUAAAAAUCCAUCAACACUAAUCCACCAACCUAUGGCUACUCGCAUAUCCAAGGCCUAAUCAACAAAUGGGGUUUGGAUCCAAACUAGGUGAUCAAAUACUCCGAUUGCAUUAAGAUGCACAGGCUAUGAUCACCUCAAGUCUUGCAGUCACAUCCAUUAAAGUAACAGAUAAUAAGAGUCACAAUGGUACAGCGCAAACUUGUCAAAUCAAAUGAGCCAAGUUAAUCCACAAAAGCACAUAAGAGAAGAUAUACCAUCAAUUCUCCAGAGUUAGAGCUAAUUUUGAUUCGAGGAACCUAGCAACCUAUUCUAAUUUUUGCCUAAAUUUUGACUAACAGUAAGAUUUUUAGAAAGAAUAAUCAUUUUAAGGACUACUUUUAGUACUCACCAUCUAUAGUGAACUUUUUUACUGUUAAUAGCUGUUGAGUCCUCUAAGGACUACUUCAAUGAAGACAGUCUAGGCUGAGCAGUAAUGUUUCGGUUUUCAAUUUAAGCCAGAUGUAACUUAUAGCUUGGUGUUGAUUUAACCAAUAAACCGAUUGAUAAGUUGAUAACCACCAAAUCAACAGAUAUCUAAGCGGUUGGGCUAGCGGAUUAAUACAUUUGAAAACUAAUAAAUCAAACCUUUAAACACAAAUAUCAAACCGAUCCGCCCGAUAAGCAGCCCUAGAUUUUAGUGGAGCAUCAAUUAGAUAACAAAUGAAAAAGAGCCAGGAGGGGAAAAUGGAUACCAGUGACAGAGUAAUUGUACUCUGGAGAAGCAAAAAGGUAACAAUCAGCUUGUUCAAUUUUCUUACGAAAAGCCUCGACUUCAGGUGGAUAAGUUCCGUCCACCUCAAGAUCAGUAUUCAGAAACGGCAACGGCGAAAUGUCCACGUACUCAAUUUCCAUUCCCUUAAUAGAAUCCUUGCAUAUCUCCAUCGCUACGAUCAACAAUCACACAAACAUCAUUAGCAACUAACAAGCCAAAAAUAAAAAUUAAAAAAAAAAAAAAAAAAAAAAAAAAAAAAAAAAGAAAAAAGGAAAAUAAGUAUACCGGCAUUGAGAAGACCACGAUUGUAGGAACCUUUACGGAGGGAACCGCAGAUCCCGGCGAUUUUGAUAACUGGUUGAGCUGCCAUUGCCGCUGCUUGCAUUUUCCCUGUGUUUUUUCUUUUUUCAAGUUAGUUGUUUAUUUUCAGCACAAAUUUACACACUAAAAUUGGGAUAGCACUUGACCUGAUGAAUGAGCUGACGAAUCAGUUCCCGUCGUUUGAAUAUGUUUUCCCUUUUUUUUGGUAAAAAUAAAAUAUCAGCUACCCUUCCAAUUUGUUUGACUGAAAUAAAAAAGAAAAUUAUUUAAAAUAUUACUUUCUCUGUUUCAUUUUAUAUGUCAUAAUUUAAUUGAAUAAAAAUUUUAAAAAAUAAUAAAAAAUUUAAUAAUUUUUAUCAAACUAUUUUUUAUUAAAAAAUAUACUAUAAUUAUUUUUAAUUAAGUAAAAUCUUACAAAUGGAUAAAUAAAAGUAAAAAUAAAACUAUCAUUAAAUAAAUACAAGAAAAUGUAAUUUUUUUUUUUAAAACGAAAAAAAAAAAUAUGACCACACAAAAAUGAAACGAAAGGAGAGUCUAUCGGGGUGUUAGAUUGCUCAUGUUCCUAUCAAAUAUUCCUCCACGUUAGAUCCUAGAGCAGCUAGCCUAUUUAUAAACAUGAUGUUUAAAAAAAAGUUUAUCCAUUAAGUUAAAUUCUCCGUCAAAAAAGAUGGAUUGGACGCCUCUUCAUUACCAUUUUCUUCAUUUUCCUCAAGCUCCUAUCUUGAUUGAUGACAUAUGGCAUAAUUCAAAUUAAAUAGCUAAGAUUUAAUUAUUCUAAAAUAUAACUCUAAUUAUAAUUUAGAUAAUAAUUACACUAUAUAUUUAAUUUAAAAAAUUAUUGUAAUUCGACAAUCAUAGCAACAUGUCCAUAAAUAAGGCAACAAUUUUUUUUUUUCUUCCUACCUUUUUUUCCUACGCAAGAAUUUCAUCUUUUAAUUUCUUUAUCAAUUGAUUUUUUUUAUUAUCAAUUUUUUUUUUAACUUUUUGUUUAACAAUUAGCUAUUUUAUUUUCUUUAAAGUAGUGAAAUAAAAUAGGAGAAAUAAUCGGCUCUUUAGAUUAGUUUUUUAUCACCUUUUUUGAAACUUUUUCUUAAAAAUUAGAUAUUUAGUUUCUUUAAAAUAGGUGAAACAAAAUAGGGAGAGGAUGAGAGAAAUCUCUAAUAUUCUAAAUUAAUUUUUUUUUGAAACUUUUUCUUUAAUAAUUAUCUAUUUUAUUUUCUUUAAAAUAGGUGAAAUAAAAUAGGAGAAUUUGUAGACUCUCCUAUUUUUAAAUAAAAUAGUUAGUAAUUAUUAAAGAGAGAGUUUCCAAAAUGCAAUAAAAAAAUUAAUUUAAAUAGAAAUUAAAAGAUGGACCAUGCAUAUGAAAAAUAAUUUAGGAAGAAAAGAUUUUUUGUUGCUAAAUUUAUGGACAAUAUAAUAUGUUGCUAAAAUUUUGAAAUCACAAUAAUUUUUUAAACUAAAUGUAUAAUGUAUUUAUUAUCUAAAUCAUGGUUAGCGAUUUACUUUAGAGAAAUUAAACUUUACCCAUUCAAUUUGAACUAUAUCAUAUGUCACAAAUAAGGAUAGGAACUUGGGGGAAAUGAAGAGAGUGAAAAUGGAAAAGAGUCGAGUACAAAAAGGAUAUUGUGGUGGCUAUAAAUUCGCUUUCGCAAGUCUCUUAAACUAAUAUUUCCAGAUUCAAAUGUUAUAUUUUUUAAAUCUUAUAAUCUUAUAUUAAAAUUAUGUAAAAUAUAUCAAAAUACCUUUUUAAUCUUGAAAUUUUAAAUACAUAUUUCAAACUAAAAUAAUAUCAAGAAAAAGUCAUUUUCUAAAAAAAAAAAACAAAUUGAAGCAGAGGACGCAAUUUUUCUUUUUUCUCAUCAAUCAUUGUUUCUUUUUGGGUAGCUGUCAAUUUGCCAAAAAGUUUAAGUUGAAAAAGAGAUUCCCAAACAUUUUUAAUAUUUUAAACAAACUAUGAUAGUGUUUUAACAAAAUAGUGUUGUAGUGGAGCAUUUGAUAUAGAAUAAUUAAAAUAGUACAAAAUAAUGAUUAGUUUAAAUUUUUAAAAAGUGAUAAUCAAAUUUCGGAUUUAACCAAUGUAAAGGUUAUCUGUCAUCCGCCACUUUGUUUGUCCAAAGUCCACCAAAAAAGUCAAGGCUAUAGGCUGCUGCGUUCAUUAUUCUAUUAUAGUUGUAGUUUUCAAUUUUUCAUAUAUUGUUCGAGAUCUUUUCAAAAGGCACAAAUAAUCCCAUCGAUUGAGCUGUUAAUGGAAUAAGCGCUGCUUUCAAACCACUACGCCGAGCUUGGUGGGUGUUGACCAUUUUUUAACUGUUCAUACAGUAGCUUAGGGCUACUGUCCAUUUUUCUGAAGCAUGAACGACUUUUUUAUGUUUAGUGGUAUGUAUAAACGAUCAAAAUACAUACAUAUUUGUACAUAAGGGAUUAUUUUAGUUAGUUUCUCUUCAGUCAAGUUAUCGAGAAACUUUAAACCUUGAGAGAAGUCAAUGUUGUUCAAAGUAAAACGUUUGAUCAAAUGGCAUGCCAUUAAAGAAUAUGUCAUGACAGAUGUUAAAAAUAAAGUCCAAUCAGUUGACGAAUAUUGGCUUUCAACAAGUUUGUAAUCUGCUGUUUUUGGAACUAGAACUUAAUUUGUAAUAAAGACGAGAAAAUUAAGAAAAUAAAAAACAACAUGAUACUGAAUUAAAGAAAUAGUAAGAAUAAAGUCUAUGAUUAGAGGGCAGUCUCCUAGACAGUUGAUUAAAUGGUCGGUAUCAAUGGCCAAAAGGCUCACUUUCAGAUCAUAACAAAAUGAUGAGAUGAAUAACCAUUAGAAGGGAACCAACAUGUCAUGAACCACUGCAAGUUCUCCAAGAUCUGCAUUAUAGAUUUUGUAGGAGGUAAAGAGAAAUGGAGUAGGGGAGCAACAUUUAAGUAUUGCCUACAAAUAGCUUUUCUUUUCCCCCUUUCAAUUGAUGCUUUACUGGGAACAAACAGUUAGCAGGGACAGCUUAUGGAAACAUAACAUAACCAUUUGGUGCCUCAAUUCCUCCAACUAUAUUUAAAUUACUUACCUCAGCAAAUGUUCCCUCAUGCCUUAAAAGAUCCUCAUCUUAAUUCUCAAGAACCUGUUUUUUUCCCCAGUUUAAAGAGAACCUAUCGGGCGAUAUUUGCUGCAGUCAAAGAACGAUAAUUAAAAGGUGAUGGAACAACUGCAAUUGCAUGUCUCAAAGCGAAUUUUACUAGAAGUAAACUACUAGUAUUAAAUUGCUUAAGCUUCAGCAUAUUGUCCCUUAUUUGUUACAGAAUCCUCACAUAAAGUCUCUAAGAACCAAAUUUGUCUCGCUUAAAGAGAUUUACAUUUGAAAAGUGAAUAUUAAAGAGUGAAACUUUGUAAUUGCAUGUCUCAAAGGUAAGUUACUACAAGUAGCAAGUGAACCACACAAUAGAUAUUCCAUCUCAAAUUUAAAUGCAACGGCUAGAGGCAAGAUGGUUCGGCAUCAGGAUCAGCAAAGCUGGUUUAACAAGGUACAAGUGGUACAUCAACCAGACUUUCAGAAAUUAUCAUAGUAAAAAUUCAAAUAGAGAUAGCAGUAUACCUCAGAGCUGUCUUGUGCCACACCAUAUCUUCUGAAUAUUUUUGUCCUUGAUUUUUUAUUUGGCCUUUAGCUUAUCCCAGCUUCUUAAUACUGCUGUAGUAAACUUUGACCAGACUGGGUUUGCGUUUCACUGAAAGAAUGCAGAUAUAGUAACCUGCGAGCAACAGCCACAGCAGAGACAAAAUCAGUAUAUACUGAAUAAUAGGAAUUGGCAUAUUUAGUGAUACUAUUCAAAUGGCCGCCUUAGCUUUCAAUGACAUCAUUCGAAGUCAGGGGGCAUCAAGCUUUGGUUGCAUUAAGGAAACGGGAUCCUAUAUGGAGGGGCCGAUUUGAGUACACCAAAGAGCAAUCCCACGUGUGAAAGAUUGCUUGGAGCAUUGAAGAUUGAGGACUCACGGUUUUGGGCCUUCAUUAAGGACAUUUUGGUUACUUAACCUUGUCCAAGUAACACUCCAUGACCACCCCUUUUCAUUAAGGGUAUUAUGGAUAUUUUGUUAUGUAAUAAGUUAGACUAUAAAUAGGUUCUAUUAGUUCAUUUGCUAGUUAGUUUAUGAAAGAUUGAAACACUUGAAAUCCUCUCUCUUGAGAGUAGACCACCUUAGUAUAGUCUUAGUUAGGACUUGGAAAAGUCAUCCUUAGUAUAGGGCUUGGAAAAGGCAAUAUUGUUCUUUGCUUGGAAACGGUGGAUCUUGAGGCUAGUCGAUUACCUUGGCGGUCACCGCAAACAGGUGGUUUUGAUUAUUACACUCAUUAGGGGUUAAUGUUGAAAUAUACUUGGUUCUUAAUCUUGUAAUAAUCUCGGUCUCACUAUCUAUCCUUUCAUUAUUUUGCAAAUCCGUGUGUUUUUGUGUUUGUCAUCUUGUAUCCCUUUGUGUUGCUUGUUCUUCUCACGUUUUGUGGACUGUUUUGGCAUCUUGGUGGACUGAUUUGUAUCAUUUAGGCAAUAACAACAUUAAGAAUUUUAACUAGAUCAUGGUUUAGGAGAAGUAAUAGGAAUGGCAUCAAUACCCCUUUGCCCUUGAGAAACAUUUGGAUGCUGGAAACGGGAUCUUUAAAUAAACAGAAGCCAGUGGUUGAAAAUGAAUAGUUGUGAUAGCUAACAGGUCCACGUGAAAGAAGAGUCAUAUUUCCUCACCAAAAUGAAAAGCAUUAAAUCAAGGCACAGAAAGAUCACCUGUGCACCGCAGAGGUGGAUAUGGAUCUAUCUGCUUCUCGUAACAUCAACUUCUCUGAAACUUCAGCCAACAAAGAAUGUAUAAUAGUGCCUAACAUCUCAUGGUCGUGUUUCUACCUUUAAGAUAGUGAUAUCUGGAAAAGUAAAAUUUCUCCCUCGCUUUUCUCUUUUCCAGAAAUUUCAUCAGAACAGAUUUGCACCAGAGAUCAUAUUUAAUUGUUAAAUUAGAUAGGUUUGUACAUGGUUACAACCUCUUUCAAUGAUGUCAAGAAAAUGCAUCAUCUUCGAGAAAGUAUGAGCUUUCAAUAUGAAGUACAUAUCCAGUAUCCUUUAUUGGAUCUAUGAGUUUAAGUAGCAACUCUUUUAUUUCUUCUGACUGACUGUGAGACUUAUCCUUAGCAACAAACUUAUGUUUGAUAUUUUUUAUCUCAAUCCAACUAUAAGCUGUUUCUUUCAUCAAUCCUCUGUUAUCCAUGUACCUUCGCAGUCUGCGAGCAUCAUCCCACCUUCCUGCUGCUGCAUAAACGUUGGAUAACAUAAUAUACCUGGCAGCAUUAUCAGGUUCCAGCUCAAAUAGAGUUUCUGCUGCUCUUUUAGCAAGUUCCAAGUUCCCAUGUACCCUGCAAGCACCCAAAAGUGCACCCCACAUUCCAAUAUGGUUUGUUCCCCAAGGAGCUCCCUUGAUUAAUUCUGCAGCUUCUCGAAGCCUAUUCUUCCGUCCAAGUAAAUCAAUCAAAAUCCCAUAGUGAUCUAAUUGGGGCACUAUAUUGUAUUCCCUCUCCAUUGAAUGAAGAUAGUGGAAUCCUUCAGAUAAUAAACCACAGUGGCUACAAGCAGAUAAAACCCCAAGAAAAGUUACAUGAUUUGGUUUUGUACCGGCUUCAAUCAUUCUGUCAAACAUGCAUACUGUCAUCUCUCCGUGCCCAUUUUGAGCGAACCCAAUUAUUAUCGAGUUCCAAGUAACUCGAUCCUUCCCAUCUAAUCUCUCAAACAAUGUAAUAGCGGAUAUCAUGUCUCCACAUUUACAAUACAUGUCAAUUAAAGCAUUAACUACAAACACAUUAUGCAAAUCAAUAAAACAUGUAUAUCUAAAAAUGUGUCCAUGAACCUGCUUCCCCUUUUCUAUAAGUGGUAUGUCUGCACAAGCACCUAGAACACUAACGUAAGUGGAUGCAUUGGGUACAAUACCUUCUUCCAGCAUUUCCUUAAAGACACACAAAGCCUUAUCUCCUUCUCCUUUCUGAGCAAAUCCCGUGAUCAAAGCAGUCCAAGCCACCACAUUUCUGACUGGCAUGCUAUCAAAAAGUGAGCACGCAUCCGCCAAUCUAGAUGCACGUAUAUAAGCAACCAACAUCGAAGUCCAGGAAACUACAUCUGUCUCAUGCAUUCGGCACAAAAUUGAAUACGAGUACUCCGGUUUCCCACAUUUCCCAUAAGCAUCAAUUAGCGCAUUACAAACAACAAGAUUAAACCUCACACCAACCACAAUCGCUAACCCAUGCAAUUCACGCAACAACUUUAACACCCCCAAACACGCGCAAGCAUUUGCCACACCAACAACCGUAAACUCAUCAAUCAAGAACUCAUCCCCAUAUCUCUUUCCCAUUCUUUUGAAAAAACCCAUCGCUUUUCCUGGAAACCCACAACGAGUCAAGCUCGAUACAAUCGAGUUAAAACUCACAACAUUUGGUUCAGGCAUUUCAUCAAACACCUUGAAGGCUUCUCCAAAAAGGCCCCUUUGACAAUAACCCGAUAAUAUCGUAUUCCAAGAUUGACAAUUCUUGUUCGACACUUCAUUAAAUGCCCGUUGCGCAUAUUCUAGAGAGCUGCAUUUAGAAUACAUGUCAACCAGUCGAUUAGCGAGUAAUGUGUUAAUGUGUAGUGCCGUCUUGAUCAAUCGCGAGUGUAUGAGUUUCCCGAGUUUGAGAUCAUUAGUUCGAAUGCAUUUCGAAAGGAGAUUCGCGAAUUUCUGAAUAAGGUCAGAAGAUAUUGCUUCACUUGGUUGCAUUACAGCAAAAAGCAAAACUUUUAGUAGAAUAAACUCGAGUUGGUUAACAAAUUAAGAAAGGGAUUGGAGAGAUUUUGUUGGAAACUCAAGAUUGACUAUCAAUUAAGCAAUAUAAUGAAUGAUGUUAACAAAGGUGAAACUCUGCUGUUAAUAUUUGAUCAAGCUUAAUUCGUGCGUGAAAUGAGUUUUUGAGGUCGUUGAUAUGAUGAACCAAUUGAAUAUAGGCCGUUAGAUUGUCCAUGUUCCCAUAUAUUGCACUCUUACCGCCCGUUUGAGAUUACCCAUGGAAAACUGAUUAUUUGAUUAUUUGCGAAGUACUUUUUAAAAACAUUUUUUUUUAGAAAAGUGCUUUUGAAAAAAAAUAAAUUAUACUUAAUAAAUUUAUUUAAAAAUUAUUUUUAAUAUAUAUGAUUAAUCUUUUUCAAGAAGUAUUUUUGAAAGACAAACGAUAAAAAAAGACAUAUAUUUAUGUAUUUUGAUAGCUAAAAUCAAUUUAUAAAGAGAAAUGAUUUUAAAUAUUUAUUAUAAUAUUUUUAAUUAAAAACCUUUUUAUUUCAUUAAAAGUACCUACUACAAAAAUUUCAAUCAAUAUUAUGAAAUUUUCAUCAUCAUCAAUCAUAUUUUUUAUUUUAUUUGAAGAAAAGAAGUGAGGAAUAAAAUAAAAAUAUAUAAAUUAUAAAAUAAAAGAGAAAAUGAUCAAAAGCCCCCAACCUUUAUCCAAAUUUCAACUACACAUCUAUACUUUGCGGGAGUACUAUGACACCCCUAAACUAUUUUAAAGUGGAAUUAUUACCCUCAAAAAUUGACAUGGUGAGAGUGUGUGUUAAAGAGAGUGAAACGUAAAUUAUUUAUUAAAAAUUUAUUUUUAAUAUUUCUUUAUUUUCUCUAUUCACUCUUAAUUAUUCUUUUUCUUUAUUCAUUUUCUUUCUUCUUCUUCUUUCUCACAAACAAAAAAACUUCAAGAAUUCAUCAAUGGCAUCCAAGAUUAAGUUAUCAUCUUCCUCAUCUCCAAGCACAAAAUUGAUUGGUUCCGACUUCAAAUCGUCGGAAAAUUCAAAAUGGGUAUUGUUCCUUAUUUUCAACUUCAAGGUCGUCGGAAAUUUCAAAAUCAAUAGUAGCCAUUUAUUUCCAGCUUCAAGGUCGUUAUAAUUUUAAAAUGAGUAUUGCCCAUUGUUUCCGACUUCAAGGUCGUCGAAAAUUUCAAAACUCUCUAUUGCUUUUGACUUUAAGGUCAUCGAAAAUUUUAAAUUUGGUAUUGUUCAUUGUUUCCGGCUUCAAGGUCGUCAAAAAUUUUGAAAUUGAUAUUGUUCGUUGUUUUCGGAUUUAAGAUCGUCGGAAAUUUAAUAAUUGAUAUUGUUCAUUGUUUCCCACUUCAAGGUUGUCGAAAAAUUUAAAUUUGAUGUCGUUUAUUAUUUCUGACUUCAAGAUCGUCGGAAUUUUCAAGAUCGAUAUUGUCUAUUAUUUUCGACUUCAAGAUCGUCGUAAAUUUUAAAAUGACUACUGCCCAUUGUUUUCGAAUUUAAGGUCGGGGAAAAUUUUAAAAUUUCUCUAUUGUUUCCGACUUUAAGGUCAUCGAAAAUUUUAAAUUCGAUAUUGUUGUUUCCGGCUUCAAGGUCGUCGAAAAUUUUAAAAUUGAUAUUGUUUGUUGUUUUCGGAUUUAAGAUCGUCUGAAAUUUAAUAAUGAUAUUGUUCAUUGUUUCCCACUUCAAGGUUGUCGAAAAUUUCAAAUUCGAUAUUGUUUAUUAUUUCCGACUACAAAAUCAUUGAAAGUUUCGAAUUCGGUAUUGUCCAUUAUUUUCCACUUCAAGUUCAUCGAAAAAUUGUUUAAGUUUGAAAAGGAAAAGAGAUGAAAAGUAAUGGUGAAAAAAAUGAUGAAAGGUGAUAAAAAGUGAUAAAAAUGGAGAAUAAAGUAAAUAAAAAUUAAUUUUAAAUUAAAAAACACGUGUAAAAAAGCUGUUGGCGCGUGCAUCACACCACAUUCCAAAUGACUGGUUGACAGUUUUCGAGGGUAAUAAUUCCACUUUAAAAUAAUUCAGGGGGUCAUAGGACCCCGCAAAGUAUAAGUAUGUAGUUGGGAUUUGGGGUAAAGGUUGAGGGACUUUUGGCCAUUUUCUCUAAAAUGAAAUAAAAAAUUGUGUGUGUAUAAGUGAUAGGAAUAUUACUAUCAUGAAAAAAAAUAAUUCUAUAUUUCAUGUUUCUGCUUUUAUAUAUAUAUAUAUUCUGUUUGUUUCCAACAACAGAAAAACUGUUUUUGCAUUUUUUUUAAAAGGAAAAUUAACCAAACACCAUUUUUUUUUUCAAAAAUAUUUUUUUCUGAGAAAAAAAUAAUCUCAAAAAGGUAUUUAGCUUGAGUAGACAAGAAGUAUAAAAAAAAUUAAAAGACCUUUUAAAUUUAUAAUAUUAAACUGAAGAUUUAUGUAAGUGCUAAAAUAUUUUAAAAUUUUAUUGUUUAACUUUUAAAUAUGUCUAGUAAGAUGUUGGGGGUAAAGAGAUUUGGUAAGUGACCAUUUUCACUAACUUUGAUAGAGCCUUUCGUAAUUUUGUGGCAUGAUUUGGAUGCCACAAACGUAUCUAUAGUUAAUGAUUUGUGGGUACUUGCUCCAACAAUUAGAUAAUACUACAAUGGUUUCUCAAAUUUAUAGAGUACAAAUUAAAUUAACUAGCUGAUAGGCUAGCAACUUUGAAAAAUAUGACAAGAGGACCACUGUUUUUUAGGAUUCUCCAACACAUAUAUCGAAUGUUUUGAAUGAUAAUUUUUUUUUUUUUGUUUUGGUGACCGCUAUAAUGCCUGACAUAAUGUAAUCUGGACCAUAAGAGCAUUUGGGCCAAUGUCGUUGGGCCGACACUCACACUGAAGUAAACCCAUAUUCAUUGUGGGAUGUGCAAAUUCAGGGCCCAAUUCCAUUUUGCACCAAGAUUUGCUCUUUCUUUUUCGGGAAAUAUAAUAGGGAAAAUUAACUAUAUAAACUUAUUAGAUUAAUUAUUACAAGUUAUAGCAAAACUUUUAAAUUUUUAAGUUAUAGUAAUUUUCAUUUAAAAAAAACAUAAAAAAAGUUUUUUUGUUUUGUUGAAAAUUCAAAAAAGUAAUUAAUGAAAAACGAAAAUUAAGAUUUAAUACAAUUAAUAUACAAUUUACCUUCCUUAAAUAUAGUUAAAAUUAAUUACUAAUAUUUAUCCACCUCAAAUUGCUCUAACCGUUUUUCUUUUCUCCUAUUUUAAUGCUUCCAUUAAGAGUUUUCACCUUCAUACACUACUUCUUUAGACGUAUUAUUUUACACAAAUCAAAACAAAAGAGGCAUUGCUAUGCUUUGUUGUUUUCCUCUUUCCAACGUCCAAAUAAUUUCUGUAUAUUUUCUCUUCCAAUUAGGUGUAUAGCACACAAUAUUUGAGAUUGUCUAUUAUAAAAUCAGUUAGAUCCUAUAAUCACUAUUGAAUGCUGACUAAGCUUGUAAAAAACAUAUAUAUAACAAUAUAUAUACAUAAGAUACAGAUAAUAUGUACGUGGACGAAUGUGAUAUAUGCUUUAACAAAUUAAAUGGAUCUAUAAAUUAAUAAUAUUAAAAGAAGAUGGAAACAACCGAUAAUAUGUAGUAUUUAAUUUGUAAUUUUAUUAGCAUAAUAUGUUAGGAAAAAAAUAAUUAAAUUUCAGUUUUGUUCUAGUGUUGUCCAUCCUAUGCUUAUACUAUAACAUAUAUUGGAUAAAAAACAUAAAAAGAAGAAUAAAAUAGAGAUCUGAAUAAAUGUAGCUGAGUCAUCUUGUUCUUCUUUGUCACUUAUACUUCUCUUUUUGUUCUUUAAAAAAAAAAUGCUUUCAGAGGUCAUCCUCAAAGUCACUAAUUGCCAAUUAGUGUAAUGAUGUUAACUACGUUUUAAUGAACACAUUUUCCUAGGAUAAUCCUACUUUUAAUACAUAAGUUGAAAUUAAUUUAUAUACUUAUUUCAUACUUAAGCAAUACUUUUAUUUUGAGUUCUCAAUGUAUUAAUUUGAUAUUAAAAUUGAUAUCAAUGAAGUUUCGCAUAUACAACAUUUGUAUUGAAUGAAUUUUAUGAAUGUGACAAUCGAUGAGAAAAAUUAUAUUUUAUGUUACAUAACUUUUUUAGUGUAUGUAAUGGAUAUUACAUGAAAAACAAUCAACGUAAAUGUUGAAAAUAAAUUAAUUGAUAGUUGUUUGAUGUCAAAUAAUUUUUCGUUGCAAUGAAAAAAUAAUCAGUAUUAAUCAUGAUUGAUAUUGGCGUUUGCUUUCUGGUAGAAGAAGAUGAAGAACAUUAUAUAAAUACUAUGUUAAAUAUCAAAACUAAACUUUGUUCAUACCAACAAUCUUAUACAGUGAGUAACGAGCACCAAUAUAAAAUCAAGAUAUAAUACUCAUGUCAAAUGUUACUAAUUGUAGAAUCAAAAAAUGUAUAAUUUGAUGCAGUUGAUAUCAAAUUUAAUACCCAUCUAAUGCGACUUAUUUCAUAUCAAUUUCAUUCAACGAUAUAAAAUACAAAAUAAACGUUAAAGUAACAUAACAUUAUAUAAAUACUAUAUAAAUACAAAAAAUAAACUUUGUUCAUACCAACAAUAUUAGAAAAAUAAACAACAAUGAUCAAGCACCAAAAAAUUAAUUCAAAUUAUUAACUAUAUUAGAAAAACAAACAGUAAUAAAAAAAUGAUUCAAUAUUAAUUUUGUACUAAUUUAAUACAAAAAAAAUAUUUGCAAGUUUGUAUGUACUGUUAUAGUUCAAGAAUACAACUUUGUUACUACCACACCAUGUACAUGCUUACUAGAAAAAAUAAAAAGAAAUAAAGAUCGGGGAUGACAGACAUGAUCACUAAGUGAGAAAAUAACAUAUAAAUGACCAAUCAUUCAGUAACAAGUACUAAGAAUUCAUUGAUAUGCAUGUUGAAAUGUGAAUUUAUCAAAAGAAGGUCACUUUUUCAACGAAGAAGAUGAAUAUUAACUAUGAAAUCCCCUUUUUUCAACGAAGAAGAUGAAUAUAAUACCCAUUUUUUUUUUAAUCUGUAUUUUCAAGGGAAGAAUAUGUAUAUUAUAUGGAGACACAAAUUUUAAUAAAGUUUUGAAAUAUUGAGUAUUAUAAUGGAGAAAGAGAGAGGUGAGGUUGAAUAUUAGAGAAUUUGAAUGGAGAGAGAGAGGUGAUUCAGAUACUUUUUUGGAACAUUAAUUUGAUUUACACGUAAUCUUCUUUCAAUAAAGUUAACUGAUAAAAAUGUGUAAGCUUUUAAAUAAAAAAAUAACAUAUAUUUACCAUGAUUAUCAAUACACAAUUUAAGAAAAAUAUUGAUUACAAUCCUAUAAAUAUGAAACUGAUUUUAAAUUAUAUAAUUCAAAACGAAUUUUAAAAAUAUAAUUAAAAUAAUAUAUCUUUCAAUAAGUUGCUAUAACUUGUAACUAAAUUGCUAUUAAUGCAAUUAUCUAAAAGUGUUGCUAAAAUUUGUUAUUUUAGAUCUAAUAAUACCAUAGGGGAUAAUUUUCUCAGUAUAAUAUAAUACUACUCUCUAUCUCAAGUUAAUUAUCGUGAUUUUCUAAAAACAAAUGUCUCAAAUUAUGUGCCAAUAUAGACGUUCAUGAUAAAAUUAAUUGAAUUUUUCUAUUUUAUUCUUAGUAAUAAUUGUUUGUGAAGUCUAAUUGUAUAAUUUCUUUCAAAUGUAAGCCCAUAUAGUUCAAACACGGAGUUGCCAAGUUUCAAGGGCAAAUUAAUUAAGGGUGACAAAAAAAGUUUCAAAACUAAGAAAGAGUGACACAAGUUUUAAAUAUUGAGUAGAGGUGACAAUUUUAAGAUUAGUAUUAAUGACAUUAAUUUUAAAACUCUCAAGUUUUAUUAUUUUACACAAAGAUCCCUAAAGAUCCCUACACCAUCACCACCACUCCUCCACCACACCCUUUUUGCUGUCGCCGCCGCUGCCACCUCCUCUUCCUCCACUAUCACUAUCACUACCAUAGUCACCUCUUCUAGAUUCACCAUUAUUUCCUCCCUCUAUAUAACUAUUGUCUAUUUUUCUUCUUUCUUCUACAUCACCGUCGCUAUCAACACUGGAACAAAUAUCAUCUUCUCAUUCGACGUCACUAGUACCACCACCACCUCCCUUUUUACCAUAAAUAUCACUUUUUUGUGGGUUCCUCCUCCAACCACAUCUUUUUUCAGAAAUUAAGUAUCGAAGUUGCUGCAGCAACUUCGACUGUUGCUGCAACAACUUCGAUAGUUGCUACAGCAACUAUCGUUGCUGUAACACAGCAACUAAUAGUAGUUGUUGCAGCAAUUUCUAUAACUAUUGUAGCGAAUUAUGGUAGUUCCUAAAGCAACUCUCGGAGUUGCUGAAUUUGUUGAAUUAUUUCUUCAUUUAUUUAUAAAAGAAAUCAAAAAAUUUCUUUUUAAAUUUCUCAAUUUUUUUUAAAAAUAGUCCAUAAAGAUUAAAAAAGGAAAAAGAACGAAAUAAAAAGAGAGAAUAAAAAGAAGAGAAAUGGAAGAAGAGGAAACUCUAGAGAGAGAGAAAAAACUAAGAAGAAGAAGAAGAAGAUAGGGAGAAAGAAAUUUGGAGAGGAAAAAAAAGAAAAUUGAAUGGCAACUUCAUUAGACUGUUCUUCAUGUUACCAAAUUGCAUAACAAAACAAACAACAACAACACCUACACAUAUAAUCAUACAACAAAGGAAUUUUCAGUAAAGUUACAUGCUCUUUCCUUCUUCUUUCCAUCUUCUUUCUCUUGUCUUUCAAACCGCACUUGACAUUUUCUUUCAAAUUACCCAUCACAUUCUCAUCUACUUCAUUCUUCAUAUCUGAACAACUUGUCUUGAUGUUGAGACUUUGAAAUUUAAUCUGCAUAUUUUCAAAGUCAUUUUCUUAUUUUGACUCCUAAUCGUCUAAAUUCAUGUUGUUGGGAUUAUGACGUUGAGUCUUCAAGCUUUCAAGCUUAUUCAAUUGCAUCUUAACACUCUCAUAAUUCUUUUCUAGCUCAUUAAUCUUGUUCACCAAUCUUGAAAGAACAAAUUUUGAUCUUUCGUCAACUCGUUCCAAGUCUUUCCAUCUAAAAUAAUUGUAAUUUAUAGUCCGAAAAUUAAGAACAUAAAUUAUAGAUCUUUACACCGACAUCAACAUUAUUCAAUUAACCAAGAAUUAACACAAACCUCAUAAUGAGGACACACCCAAAAUCUUCUACCGGGAUUGCGAUCUGUCCAAGACGUCUGCAUUUGCAAUAAAAUGUCAUGUUUACUUUCAGCAUUGAUCUUUGGAUCAGUCUCAUCCAUACACAACUUAUUCAACUCGUAUUUCCUCAUUUCUACCCUUAAAUUUUUAUCAAAAGAAAACAAGAAAACUUCAUUAAUGGAAAUGAAAAACUUCAUUAAUGGUGCUGAAAAACUUCACAUUUUGGAUUAAUUAUAAUGGAGAAAUCGAAUUUUCAUUAACAGAUCUAAAAUUAGAACUUUAAUAACGACAUUACAUGGAUUAAAUAUAAGAAAUUUACACAAAAAUUACCUUUGUCUUUCCAAAUCAAAGAGAAAUUUGAAGAAUAAGGAAAUUUUGAAGAAGAAUUUACAGAGGAAAAGAGAGUCGUAGAGCUUCUAAUUUUUCUUCAAUGGAGGAUGAACAAAAUAAGGUUUAAAUAAAGAUUUUAUUUUUUUAAUUUGUUUUGGACACGUGACAAUUUUUUAUUGGAUAAGGAGACAUAAAAAAAGACUUCAUGCGCCAUCAACAUUUUCAUACAUGCCUUGUGCCAUGGAGACGCAAUGUAGGCAGUCAAGGGUGUCAAUAUUACACUUUUAUUUAGUUCAGGGAGGUAAUAGGACCCCCUUUAAGUUGAAGUGUGUCACAACCUUUUUGUAUAUAGUUCAGGAGGUAAUAAGGUAUUUCUCAAAAAUUAAUAAUAUUUAAUAUAAAAUUUACUUGACUUUUUGUAUUAGACUCAUUUAAUUUUUUUCCGCAAGUAUUUUGUAUAGUAAUUUUGUUGUAUCACUUUUAAUUAGACAUGCCUUUUCAUUGUUUCAAUCGUGAUUUUACUAUGUCACUCCUAAUUAAUUAUUAUGACCAUUUAAGCAUUGUAUCAAUUAAUAAUAUUUGAUAAAAAGGUAAAAUAAAUAUAAAAUAAUAAGUUAAUCAAAAAAAUUUCACAAGUAUUUUUUAUAUUAAUUUUGUUAUAUCACUUCUAAUUAAUUGUUGUGAGUCAGUAAGGCAUAUCUGCUUCACUCGUAACUUUACCAUAUCACCAAUAAUUAAUUAUUAUGUUCAUCUAAGUAUUAUGACACUUAAAUUGGAAUAGAAGAAAAAAGAUUAUACAUCGCAAUAAUUUAAAACUUAAAUUAUUUAAAAAAUGUAAUUGAUUAUCAAUGCCACAAAAAUUUGAAUAAUGAGAGCGAUAUAUAUUAUUUGAAAAAUAUAUAAAAAAUAUUAUAAAUUAUAAUAAUUAACAAUUUAAAAUAUUUAUAAAAAUUUUGUUAUAUAUUUUUUAAACAUAUUAUAAAUUACAAUAAUUAAAAUAAUUUUUUUUAAAAUAUUUAUUGGGGCACGGGCUAUUAAUAACUAGUAGUCUCAUGAAAGGGGGCCUUGAACAUAAGUAGCCAAUUACAUCAAGAAGGAGCCCUUAGACAGAGAUUGGAAGUACCUUUUUGGCAAAUGCAUAGACAAUUCAUACUUGUUGACUUUGGUUUAAUUGGGGUCCGUUAAUCUAGUGGGUCCAUCCUUAGUCAUGUUUGAGAAUGCACUAAGAGAAGAGGGGUUGUUUGGAUGAUAAAUAUUGUCACAUUUAAUUUUAACAUUGUAAGUUUAAGUUAUCAUUGAAUCAAAAGGGUGAAAGCUUUUUAAGGAGGGGUAAAAAGAGUCAGUGUAAUAAUCCUAUAAAGUAAAAUUUAGAAAGGGUAAAGACUUUACUUUUAUUUUAAAAGUAGAAAGGGUUGUUUUUGAUAUAUCCUAUAAAACCUAUUUGGCCACAAAUAUUAGUAUUCAUUUUUAUUCAAAAUAAUUUUUUACUUUAUUUUUAGAUCAGUAUUGAAUAUGAAAAUAUCAAAUUUAAUUUGAAAUUAUAUUUUAGAUUUGGAAAACAGCUUAUCUGUUUUUCAACUCACUUUUUCACUUUUAAAGUUGCAUUUAAGUAUAUUCAAGUAUGAACAUUAUUCUAAAUACUUUUUGCAAGAAUAUAACCAAACACGACUUCCUUACGAUAAAUGAAAAAUAUUUAGAAUCUAUGGUCAAAUGCCUAUAGAUUUUUGUAAGGGCAGAGCUAGAAGUCAAUGCAGAAUUUGUGGUCGGAUCUAGUAGCUUUAGUUCAAAUUCUUUAUUUAUCUUUAUUUAUAUUUAAGAAUGGAAUUUUUGGCCCUUCUGCGAUAGUCUAUGGGCAAUUUUUUUUAGCCUUUUUCCAUUAAAGAUAUAUAAAAAUGAAAUCAGGACCUAAUUAUUAACACUUGAUUUUAUUGCUCUAGAAUUUAAAACCUACAAAAUUUGAAUUUUUAUUUCGCCUCUAAUUAUACUGCUCGAUUAAUGGUGGAGUUAGAAAUUUGGCUAAGGAUGUGUAUAAAUUUUCUUUUUCUUAAGAGCGUGCAAAAUUAAAUAUACACUCAUAAAUAUUAACGUUUAGCUUCUAUACACCACAUAAUUUUUCAACAAAAAGUGUGCAUCAAACCAUCCUUCGGCUAACGUCGCUACGCGGUGUGCUCGAUACACUUCAAGUUGAAUAGUAACCAAUUGUCCAAUAUGUUGCUUAACCAAGUUGAAAAGUUGCCUAAAAUAAACAUCCGAUGCGACUUUCUCUACUUGUUGACUCAUAUAUAUAUGUACAUACACUUACUGGGUAGGUAAUUGUCAUAAUCCAAAAUAGGAUCAUGACCGGCGCUAAGGAGUUUAGGAGUCCAAAGUAAGCCUCGUCAGAUUUCUAUAAAAAAUCGGACAGAAUUUUCCCUGUUUUUGGGCCUAACAAGAAAAUUUCUUGUCUCAAUUCAACAACAAAACAACCCAAUAGCACAAACACCAACACAAUUCACCAAUACCACCAACUAACAAUACUAAAUCCAUCUCCAAAAAUAAGAGGAAGUCAAAUACUUCACAAAUUCAAAAUAAUGAAAGAAUGCUCAAGCUCUAAAGACAUGACUAUGGAGCAAACUAAGAGAUUUCAAGAAAAAGAAACAUAACUAAUAAAUAAACUAUAGCCCACGCGAAUAAUUGCGGAGCUCACCAGGAAUAUGCUACUCAGAUCCUCUAGUCAACGUGAUCCUCACCGUCACCUGUGUUCUCUGAAAAAUAAUAGUGAGGAGUGAGACGCUAGCUCAGUGAGUAAUAACACUUAACCACAACCGUUUAAAUUGGGACAAGUCAUAAAACAUCAUGAAAUAAUGCUCUUUUAGGAAACAGUAACGAUAAACAAUAUCAUUGUUUCAUGUAAGCCAAGUGAACCAACAGUUCAGUAAUAAACUCAAAAAGUAUCGUAUCGUAUCAUAUCAAAUAUUACAUGUUUGGGAGGUUUCCAGAAAUGAAUCAUGUAAUUAGUGUGACAUUCUUCUUCAUCAAGAAUAGCCCAUAACAGUGGACCCCUCACAAAGGAGUCAAAUAUCAUAUCAGUAACAGUAUGCUAGUUCUAUCUUUACACUAGCGAGGACUGUAAUAGUCAUCAGUAAAUACAAGGUGCACCAGGUCUAACGAUCCCUCCGUUAGCUCUCUACUCCCAUUUAUACUUUGUAAACAAUAGGAUAUUCAUAUGAAAGCAUUUGUCAGAAUAGUACAUAUCAUUUAAAGUUCAUAUCAAAUCAUAUUACAUAUAAAUCGUGAAUAAAAAUAAAUGUCAAAAUACAUGUUUCUCAUGUAAGUGAAGAAUAUUCACAGUAAUAAUAUCAUAUCUCAAAUAACAAUUUCAACAUCAUAUCAAGUAAAGGUCUUGUCCCACAUGCAAUUUCAAAACAGUUCAUAACUCAUUGUUUCAUCAAAAUCAAGUAUAAAAUAUGCAAGUUAACAAACAUAAAUUAUGGUAAGAUUACUACUCAUAGUACAAUUUCCGAAAUACCAAACUUGUCACUUCGAACAAUUGAUAGGACUCCCUUCGAUCGAAUCUAAAAUCAUAUCAUAUCAUUCUCGAGUUAAUUUUCUUAUUUUAGGCUAAAUUAUAAUAAAAUUAGACUACCCAACCCUCAAGGUUUCAAGAUAUUUUCAAUUCAUUGAACUAGUAUCCAAAAUAAUUCUUAUUGUCCAUAAUUCUUGCCUUUAACAACUAAAUAGCAAUAUCCAAAAUAAUUUUACCUAGACUAGAAAUCAUGAUAAGGAUGUAAAAAAAAAGGAUUUACCUUAAACCCGAUAUAAAUCUCCAAACAAACCCACUUUUUCUUCGUCCUUGAUUUUAUUUUUCUCCAAUUAACAAGCUGACCUUUUUUUGGGAGUUACAGAUGCAACUGAUGUUGCAUUCUCGGACCCUAAUCCUUAAAUAAUUUUUUUUCCUUGUUUGUGCUUGCUGAAAGAAGCAGCACACAUAAUUCCUUUUCCCCAUUUUAUGUGGUUUAAGCAGUGGCGGAUCCAGAAUUUAAGGAUAGUGGGUGCUUAAAAAAUUUUUAAACUGAAAAAAAAUAAAAAUAACUUCAAUGAGGUUCAAACCUAGGACCUCUUUCCAAUGAAGCGCCUUAAAAUCAACUUAAAUGCCAAUGCACCCAACUAACUUUUGUUCUAGUGGGUGCUUUUAUAUGUUUUAUACCUAUUUUCAUAUAUUUUCUAUGUAAUUAUACCUAUUCCGCGUCAAGUUUAGUGGAUAACGAAGCACCCCAAAAUACAAGGUAGGUCCGCUCUUGAGGUUAAACGCAUAUGGGUAAAAACCUAAUCCUUUUCCUUCUUUUUAAUUGAAAGAUGGGGGUGACCCACUUUUUUUUCUUUUCUUUUAAGGACUAGAACUAAGAUGAUAUGGGAUAUUACAAGACAGUGGCGGACCCAAAUUUUAAAGAUAGUGGGUGUUUAAAAAAUUUAAAAAAUGAAAAAAGUAAACAAUCACCUAAAUGAGAUUUGAACUCGGGGCCUCCUUCCUAUGAAGGACCUUAAAUCAACCUAAAUGUCAAUGCACCUAACAAAUUUUUUGUUAUAGUAGGUGCUUUUAUAUGUUUUAUACCUAUUUUCAUAUAUUUUCUAUGUAAUUAUACCUAUUCCGCGUUGAGUUGAGCGGGUGUCGGAGCACCUCAAAAUCCUACAAAAGUCUGCCCCUGGUACCUUGUAAAAAAAUAGGCGGCCGCCUUAGUCCUCCACACACAUGGCCCUUCUUGUCCACAUACAUCAUUUCUAUAUAUUAGAAGUGAAGGUUUCAACAUGUCACUUUUUUGUCUUUAAAUUCAAUAUUGAGGGUAUUAAUGUCUUUAAAAUAAGUUCUAAGCUUAAAUUAAUAAUUUUUUGUUCUUUGUUUUUUGAACCUCAUUAAAAGUUUUAAUAAAAUCCCAUUUUUACUCUUUAAUUACCAACAAUGCCAAGUAAAGAAUUUACAAUAAUGCCAUCAUAUGUGGCCUUGCAUAUAUUUCCACACACGUGGGCCUUCCAUCUUCCAUUUAUUUUUCAUUUUUAUUUAUCUUUUUAUUGUAUAAAAUUAUUUCAAAUAUAUUAUAUUUAAGUAGUAAGAUGAUAAUUUAUUGUAAAAAUUAAUUAUUGAUAUAAUUAAAUAAAUUUUAUUUUUUAUUUAAUUUCAUAUCAAACAUAUAAUUUACUUUCUUUCUUAUUUGUUACUACAAUUUCACCUAGUUUAAUUUUUUUUCCUGAUAUAUAGAAGAGAAAAUUUCGAUACGUCUGCUUCAAUUUCUUCAAUCGUGAUUUUAUUAUUGCCUCUAAUUAAUUAUUAUAAGUCAUUUAUAUAUUAAAAAUUUAAUAAUAUUUAAUAAAAAAAGUAAAAUAGACAUUUAUGAUAUGUCUGCUUCAGCUGCUUUAAUCGCAAUUUUACUAAUUUUUUUUCCCUAUUUAGUUAUUAUAAGUCAUCUAAGUAUUUAAAGUAGUUCUCCGUCAACCUGUCAGCUUCAGCUGAUUCAAUAUUAAGGGUACUAAGGUCUUUAAAAUAAGUUCUAAGUUUUAUAAAUAUACCAUAUAUAGUAAAUAUCUACUUUACCAUAUAUAGUGAAUAUCUACUUUAUAAUAUAUUGCGUAUGUCUAUUUAUGGAAAAAUUACAAACCCCAAAGUUAGUUUUUCCCUAUAAGUAAAGGGGUUUUACUUCAUUGUAACCCCUUAAGAGAAAUAAGAAUUACUCUCUCUAUUCUCUCUACUCUUCUUCUUUAUUCUUUAUUAGUUUAUAACACGUUAUCAGCAUGAGACUCUACCAAACAAGGUGAGAUUAUAAAUCUGAAGGAUUUCAAGGUUAGUAGUUCUUUAUGUUAUCUUUCUUUUGCUACUACUAAUAUAAUUAUUAUUGGAUUUGAGGAAAAAUAAUUGGUUCGGAACCAUUUAUAUUUUAAAUUUAUUCCUCAAGAACAAUAUUUUCAAAAAGGAUGAUAAUAUGUUGGGUUCAAGUCCCAUUGAUUCAUACCUAAGACGUUUUUAUAUGGAUAGGAUAUUGAGUUUGAAUCUCAAUACACCAUAUUGAUGAUAUUAUGAUGGCUAAGGCAAAAUAAUGGGUGUUUAAUAAAAGGUCAUGAAACAUAUCCCGUUAAUAUGCUCUAUUCCAUGAAGUGAAUAUGGUAGCAUAAAUCUGAAAGUUGAUAACUUGCUUCAUCGUUGAAAGAAGACAAGUGAUUGAAUGCACGAAUAUAAGCGUGGAGAGACAAUAUGAUAAUAAUCAUCAAAAGUGGUAAUAUUUUCACACGCUUAUUAUGAUUAUAAGAUAUGCUAGAGAAAAGUUCUCUACAUCAUAUGUACGCCGCAAUUUGCUCCUGAAGUAGCAAUAUGAUAAAAUAGGUUAUAAGAUAUAUAAGCUAUCAUAAUUUGAUAGGCUUAAGACACGAUUAUAUUCCAUUCUUGGGGAAUAUGAGAAUUUUGAUUAUUAUAAACACAGAUCCAUUCCCUGGGGUGAAUGUGAUAAUAUUUAGUGAAGUUAUUAAUAUAAACGUGUACUUAAUUAUGAUGGUAUGACAACUCACCUCCGAAAGAGGCAGAAUAACUAAGAUGAGUUAUUUUGAAAUCUACUUCUGAAGUAGUAAAUCUGAAAUUUAUUCAUAUAAUAGUAAAUCUGAAAUUUACUAAAGCAAAAACAUAUAUCAUGGUAAACUUGGAGUUUACUAGAUUAAAAGUUCAUAAGUUGACAUGACCGAUUGCUCCCGAAGCUGUGCAUACUGAGUAUUGAACAUAUAUUGAAGAAUUAGAAAAUUCUUCAUGAACUUUAAUGUUGCUUGCUCUCAUGAUAAGUUGGUUGGACCAACUAAUUUUGAGAUUGAAUCCCUCAAAAUCUGAAAAGAAUAAAAGGUGAAUUAGGGCCCGUUCACCUAUCACAUGAUAUGUUGAAAAGAUGCAUCAAUAAGAUAAUCAUAUGUACAUUCAUGGUCAACCUACGUUUAACAUUCAUAAAGUUACUUAUUCAAUAUAAAUUGAGCAUAAUUUUCAGAUUGUGUAAUCAAGAUAAUUCAUCUUGAUGAUGAUGGUUUAACAUUGAAUGUCUUCUAUAAAUAGCUGAACCAUUACAAAUGAGAACAAAGUUUCAUUUAUUCAUAUGAAAUAUGAUAUAUUGCAUACAAUAACACUUGUAAGCAUUAGAUCAAUAUAUUAUGAUUAUUUCUUUCCUCUCAAUUGGUUCAAGGUCGGGAACCAACUAUUCCUCUAAUAGUUUUGAUGUGCGGUAUACGAUUAAUAAAUAUACCAUGAUGCACAAAGAAAGAUUCCUCAAAGAAGAUGGAGGAUGUAUGUUAGUGUUACUAACAUAAGGGGGAGAUUAUAAGCAUCUAUGAAAUAUGUUAGGAAUUAUCAUCAGAUCUUCAUUCAAAAGAUAAUUCAAGUCAAAUGUCGAAAGCAUCUCAUAUCUAGCUGCAAGUGCUCCUAUUUUGUGUCCUUAAAGGAUAAAGUCUAUGCAUGCGUGAAGCAUGAUAGACCAAUCGGUUCCAAAUGAAAUAAUCCUUGAAAAGGAUAAGGAGCAAAUAAUCAUGAUAAGAAGGCAAUGUGCUCUUGAAGAGCAUACAACAUAACACUUCAUGAAACCUUAUGAGAGGUUUAGGUACCUGAAAAUAAUGAAGUGAUGAGAUCUCAAAAUGUUAUGUCGCAUUGUGAAUCGAUACAAAAUAAGAAAUCGUUGACAAUAUCUUUGAUACAAUAUUGGCGCAAUAUUGUAAAAGAUUAUGAGGAUCUGAAUUCUACGUUAAUUUAAGCAUGCUGACCGAGAAAUAUUUAUCAAGUGACCUGAAAGGAUGCAUUUUGGUAAGCGUAAAACUUAUUUGAUUUGCAUUCCAUACACUUGAAGAUGUCACACUUGACAUGUUGAAUAUUGUUACUUGACAAACAUCCAUAUGAAAAUCCCUAAAGGAUUCAAAAUGCCUGAAGCAUAUAAAGUUUCUGGAAAACUUUUUAUUAUCCUCAUAAGAUAUAAUUUGAUGAUUUGAGUAUCAUUGAAACUCUUGGAGAGUUUUCAAAAGCAAUAGAGUGUUUGCUUAAAUGACAAACAUGCAAAAAUUGAAUAAGGAUCCAUUCUGACCUCAAGAAAAGAAUGAGGAACUCCUUGGUUAUGAAGUACUAUAUCUUAGUACAAUUGAUGCACUAAUAUAUCUUACAAAUACUACAAGGAGUGAUAUAGCCUUUUUUAGUUAAUUUGUUAGCAAGUUUGCAGUCCUGAUCUUAUUGGUCAUGCUGAUUUUGGGUACUUAUCUGACCUACAUAAAGUUCGAUCUCAAAUAGGCUAUGUGUUCAUAUGUGGUGGUACUGCAAUAUCUUGGAGAUAUACAAAGCAGUAUAUCGUAGCCACUCCAUCUAAUCAUGUUGACAUAAUAGCUAUUCAUGAAGCAAGCCGAGAAUGUGUAUGGUUGAGGUCCAUGAUACAUCUCAUUUGAGAAAAAUAUGGUGUGAAAUAUGACAAUCUACCCAUAAUUUUAUACGGAGAUAAUACAUCAAGCAUAGCACAUCUUAAUAGAGGGUUCAUAAAAGGAGAUAGAACGAAGCACACUUCAUCAAAACUUUUCUACAUACAUGAGCUACAAAAGAAUAGUGAUAUUAAUGUGCAACGGAUUCGUUCAAAUGUGGCUGAUUUAAUCAUCAAGUCUUCUCCAAUUACAACUUUUAAGAAGAUUGUGCACAAGAUUGGGAUGUAAAGAUUUAAGGAUGUUCUCAUUAGGGAGAGUUAAUACGUGCUGUACUCUUUUUUACUUACGAGGUUUUGUCCUACUGGAUUUUCCUUGUAAGGUUUUUAACGAGGCAGCCGAUAUGCCUAUUGUUAGAAAUGUGUACUCUUUUUCCUUCACUAGAUUUUUUUUUCUAGUAAAGUUUUAACGAGGCACAUUAUCUAUCAAUUAGACAUUCAAGGGGGAGUGUUAUAAAUAUACCAUAUAUAGUGAAUGUCUACUUUACCAUAUAUAGUGAAUACCUACUUUACCAUAUAUUGUAUAUGUCUAUUUAUAGAAAAGUUACAAACCCCAAGGUUAGUUUUCCCGUAUAAAUAAAGAGGUUUUGCUUCAUUGUAAUCUCUUAAGAGAAAUAAGAAUUACUCUCUCUAUUUUCUCUACUCUUCUUUUUAUUCUUUAUUAGUUUAUAACACUAAGCUUGAAUUGAUAGUAAUUUUUUGUUGUUUGUUUUUCGAACCUCAUCAAAAGUUUUAAUAAAAUCCUAUUCGUUUCUCUUUAAUUACCAACAAUGCCAAGUAAAGAAUUUACAAUAAUGCCAUCAUAUGUGGCCUUGCAUAUAUUUCCACAUACGUGGCCCUCCAUCUUUCAUUUAUUUUUUAUUUUUAUUUAUUUUUCAAAUAUAUUAUAUUUAAGUAAGUUGAUUAGUAAGAUGAUAAUUUAUUGUAAAAAUUAAUUAUUGAUACAAUUAAAUAAAUUUUAUUCUUUAUUUAAUUUCAUAUCGAACAUAUAAUUUACUUUCUUUCUUAUUUGUUACUGCAAUUUCACCUAAUUUAAUUUUUUUUCCUAAUAUAUAGAAGAGAAAAUUCUGAUAUGCCUGCUUUGUUAUCUGCUUCAAUUUCUUCAAUUGUGAUUUUAUUAUAUUAUCCCUAAUUAAUUAUUAUAAGUCAUUUAUAUAUUAAAAAAUAAUAAUAUUUAAUUUUUAAAAAUAGACAUUUAUGACAUGUCGAUUUCAGUUGCUUCAAUCAUAAUUUUAUUUUCUAUUAUAUCAUUUUUCAUUAAUUAUUAUAAAUUAUUUAUAUAUUAAAAAUUUAAUAAUAUUUAAUAAAAAAGUAAAACAGACAUUUAUGACAUGUCUACUUCAGUUGCUUUAAUUGCAAUUUUACUAAAUAUCUUUCCUAAUUAAUUAUUAUAAGUCAUCUAAGUAUUUAAAGUAGCUCUCCAUCGACCUGUCAUCUUCAGUUGUUUGCUCUGUGAUUUUACUAUAUCAUUCUUAAGUAAUUAUUAUAAAUUAUUUACAUAUUAAAAAAAUUAAUAAUAUCUAAUCAAUAGAAUAGACAUUUAUGACAUGUUUGCUUCAGCUAAUUUAAUCAUAAUUUUACUAAAUAUCACCUUUAAUUAAUUAUUAUAAGUCAUUUACGUAUUAAAUAAAUAAAUAAAUAAUAUUUUAAUUAAAAAUAUAAAAUAUCUAUAAAAUGAUAAGUUAACUCUUGAUAUUUUAAAUAACUUGACGUCUUAUAUUAGAUUUCACUUACUUUUUUUUUACAAGUAUCUUUUAUAGUAAUUUUAUUAUAUCACUUCUAAUUAGUUGUCGUGAGUUAUUUAAGACAUGUCUAUUUCGUUGCUUCAAUCGUGAUUACUAUAUCACCUCUAAUUAAUUAUUAUGGUCAUCUAAGCAUCAUGUCACUUAAAUUAUAGUAGAAAAAGUUUUACACAAUAAUUAAAAAUUUAAAUUAUUUAAAAAAUGUAAUUGACUAUUAGUGACACAAAACUCUGGACAAGGAGUGUAGCAUAUGUUUUUUAAAAAUUACAUAAAAAUAUUAUAAAUUACAAUAACUAAAAACUUGAAAUAUCAAAAAAUAAUUUAAUCUAUUAUAUAUAUUUAUAAAAUACUUAAAAAAAAUACUAUAAAUCACAAUAAUUAACAAUUUAAAAAAUUUAAAUGAUAUAAAUAUUUGAUUGACUCUCGAAAUUGUAUCAGUGUCACUUAAAUUGAAAUAGAAAAAAAAAUAUUAUAAAUCACAAUAAUUAAUAAUUUAAAUUAUUUUAAAAAUACAAUUGACUAUCAAUGACACAAAAGUUUGGAUAAAAGAGUAACAUAUAUUAUUUAAAAAUUUCACAAAAAAUAUUAUAGAUUACAAUAUUAACAACUUAAAAUAUCUAAAAACAUAUUAAAAGUAUGAUUGAUUAUCUAAAUUCAAUUUGUGUCAUAAAAAUUGAGACAAAAAAUAUAUAUUGAGCUCAUGCUAGAUCCCGAAUAAAUCUUAGGAUGGAUAUGCAGUCCAUCUUUUUUUUUUUAAAACUUUUGUUUAAAUAUAUCAAAAUGCAAGUUCUAAUACAGUACAUCAAACAGUGUAUAAAGAAUAAUGUUAGCAUAACUAAUACCAAUAUUACUAAUACAAGUAUUAUUAAUACAUUCUAUCAACAUUAUUUUUGUACACUCUAACAAACGACUCCAUGUUUUAAUGGAAGGAACAUAUACAAAAGUAAAGUUCAAUAAAAUAUCUACAUAAGUAUGUUUUAUCGUAUUCUCAAAGUCAAAUAAUUUAAAUUAAUAUGAAAGAUGGUAACUUAUAAUUUUCUUUUCUAUAUAAUUUUUGAAACACUUAAAAGUUGAAUUUAAAAUAUUAAUUUAGUUUAACUUCAAAGAACAAGUUGACAAAUAAAAGAGAAGGAGAAAGUGAAAGUAAAUGAUGUUUAUGGCGGCUUAGUAAGGGAAUAAUGUGGGUUAUUAAUUGCAAUCCACAUGUGAUGUAAUAUGCAAUAACUAGACAACCCUUUAUCUUUUUUUCAACAAUUAUUCUCUAUUUUAUGCAACAAAUGUCAAGUCUUAUGUAUCAAUUUUAAUCUCAAAUUUUCUACGCAAAUAUCAAUCAUAUAAUUAAAGAUAUAAACUUCUAAAUGCAUCAAAUUUUGUCGUUUAUAUGAGUAAGUUAUACAUAAUUAUCUUGUAAGACUUAACUCCUUCAAAAAUACUACCAAGUAGUUAAUAUAUUUUGUGUAUUCAUAUUUUAUAAUUCAUAAUUCAAAUUAAUAUCAAUUUAACUUACUAUACAUAGUAAAAAUAUCUUAACUUGGACCCAUGCUGAUACGGGCCAUGCUACUCUAGUAGUACGAGAUGUGGUCACCAAUUCAUAUGAAUAUUAAUUCAUUUCAUACACGAAGUGAAUUUUUUAAACAAAUGCUCCAGGUAAAUCACGUGGAUAACGAAGAAUAAUAAAGAGAAUAAAAUACUAAUAACGUUAUCUUAUCAUAAAUAGAUGUGGAAGAGAUACAAGUAUAGAAGUCUAACACAAAAAAAACAAACGAUAUAUAAGUCAUGGAGUAUAUAUAUAAGUAUCAAAUUUUGGAUCUAUUAUGUACUAAAAUUUUAUUAUAUAUUUAAAUACAAAUGAUCGUAUCAAAUUUUGCAUCUAUUAUGUACUUAAUUUUUUUUUUCUUGGUUUCUCAAGGUAUCCCCAUAACCGGCAGCCGUGAGACUAAUCCUCCGUUCUCCUCCGUUCCUACUGUUAGCGCAUUAAGCGGUAGGAAACUGGCCAAAUAGUUUUUUUCAUUCACCAGAGGUAGGGAUCGAACCCCCAACUUCUUGUUUAAGGGGUGAGGUGUUGAACCACCACACCAACCCUUGUGGUUUAAAUUUUAUUAUACAUUGAAAUGUAAAUUUAUAUUUUUGUACAAAUAUAUUAAAUGGAUAAAAUUAAUUAAGAAUUAAUAAAAUUGAAGAUGAAAGAAUUCAUGAAUACACAUUAUAGUAGGAGGUGAAAAGUUGAUGAGUUGAAUAAAUAAUUUUUGAAUUAUGAAAACUAAAAUAAAUAGAUAAAUAAAGAAGAAAUGAUCAAAAAAGGAGAAAAAGAUAAAUAAAAAUGGUGGCUUUAGAAGUGUGCUACAUCAUCAAAUGUCUAACCCUACUUUAUAUAUACGGAGAGAUUAGAAAAUGACACAAAAAUAAUAUACGGUGAAAUAUCAAUGUCUCUUUCAAAAGAUUCAAGCUUAAAACAUUUAUAAAAUAGAUAAAUAAAUAAACUAUUUAUACAACGAAUCUCUAAAUUUAAUGUCUACAAGUUCAACGUUGAAAGAUUUGGCAUGGAGUUGAUUAUCUCCGUUAUAUAAGAUCAUGAUGAAGCCCCAAAAAAGCUUAGAUCUAUAUUAUUAUAUAUAAUAUAUAUCUAGAGAUGGAUUAAGUAGGGGUGGUAAAGCGAAAUAUGACACCCUCCUGAUUUUGUAAAGCCAACCGCACCCACCCACUGAUGUUAAAAUAAGAGCAGAUCAAUUUUACCAGCAAAAUAAAUUUGAACUACAAAGAUAAAUGGAAACUUAAGGAUAAUUAGAUUCGAGAGAAAACUUAAGUUUGAUAAUAACUUAACUUAAAAUAGCUUAUAUUCAAGACAAAUUUUAUUCAUCGAUAUAACAUCAAUGGCCAUGAAAACUAAAAUAAAUAGAUAAAUAAAGAAGAAAUGAUCAAAAAAGGAGAAAAAGAUAAAUAAAAAUGGUGGCUUUAGAAGUGUGCUACAUCAUCAAAUGUCUAACCCUACUUUAUAUAUACGGAGAGAUUAGAAAAUGACACAAAAAUAAUAUACGGUGAAAUAUCAAUGUCUCUUUCAAAAGAUUCAAGCUUAAAACAUUUAUAAAAUAGAUAAAUAAAUAAACUAUUUAUACAACGAAUCUCUAAAUUUAAUGUCUACAAGUUCAACGUUGAAAGAUUUGGCAUGGAGUUGAUUAUCUCCGUUAUAUAAGAUCAUGAUGAAGCCCCAAAAAAGCUUAGAUCUAUAUUAUUAUAUAUAAUAUAUAUCUAGAGAUGGAUUAAGUAGGGGUGGUAAAGCGAAAUAUGACACCCUCCUGAUUUUGUAAAGCCAACCGCACCCACCCACUGAUGUUAAAAUAAGAGCAGAUCAAUUUUACCAGCAAAAUAAAUUUGAACUACAAAGAUAAAUGGAAACUUAAGGAUAAUUAGAUUCGAGAGAAAACUUAAGUUUGAUAAUAACUUAACUUAAAAUAGCUUAUAUUCAAGACAAAUUUUAUUCAUCGAUAUAACAUCAAUGGCCAAUCGCCAUGAAACUAGCUAACAUGACCAAUCAACUGACCAAAUGUUACGGAAGUCUUAUUAGAAGCAAUGUGUGAAUUGAUCCCCUUCAACAUUUCCCUUUCAUAGGGAAAAAUAUAUCUAUAUCUAUAUAUAUAGAUAUAUAGAUAUAGAUAUAUUUUUCCCUAUGAAAGGGAAAUGUUGAAGGGGAUCAAUUCACACAUUGAUUGAAAGAAGCUAUUUGCAAUUGCCGCCGAGUCUCACGGCAAAUGCCUGUAAAGCCAAAAGAAUUUCUUUGAGCCUCUUCUUGGUUUCUUCAUCUAUCAGAUUGCCCUUAUCAUCAAACAUUGGUGGUAGGUCUAAUACAUUGAGGAAAAAUUAAGGUUUGUUAAUGAAAUGAAUAUCGAAUCUGACUCCCAUAUGUCGAAGGUGAUAUUGUGAUCGUCCUCCACCAAAAUCAUAUUCAGUACUCACGAUUGCUGCUGCUUUAUCACCCC